This 777-nucleotide ribosomal RNA is filed under the name uncultured Neocallimastigales. RNAcentral's name for it is "partial large subunit ribosomal RNA". It matches the Rfam family "Eukaryotic large subunit ribosomal RNA", at positions 23 to 616 of the family's 3401-position model. Lineage: Eukaryota; Fungi; Neocallimastigomycota; Neocallimastigomycetes; Neocallimastigales. The record is from RNAcentral.
AGAGAGAGACAUGCGCGCAUAUCAAUAAGCGGAGGAAAAGAAACUAACAAGGAUUCCCCUAGUAACGGCGAGUGAAGCGGGAAGAGCUCAAAUUUGAAAUCUUAAAGGGUUUCCCUUUACGAAUUGUAGUUUAAAGAAGUGUUUUCUGUUGAGGUUUUGGUAAAAGUUCUUUGGAAUAGGACAUCAUAGAGGGUGAGAAUCCCGUAUUUGACCUUUACUUUCAACUUUGUGAUACACUUUCAAAGAGUCGGAUUGUUUGGGAAUGCAGUCCAAAAUGGGUGGUAAAUUUCAUCUAAAGCUAAAUAUUGGCGAGAGACCGACAGCGAACAAGUACCGUGAGGGAAAGAUGAAAAGAACUUUGAAAAGAGAGUUAAACAGUACGUGAAAUUGUCAAAAGGGAAGCGUUUGACACCAGUGUUGUUUUUCUGAAAAUCAAUUAAAGAACUGUUUAUGCUAAGUUGUUUAGACUUUAUCAGCUAACUGUUUAGUUUUGAGCUUUUCUUUAAUGCACUUUUCAGUUAACAAGUCAACAUCAAUUUCUUUUGCUGUAAAAAAGCUUGAGGAAGGUGGCUUGAGAUUCAGUCUUAAGUGUUUAUAGCCUCUUGCCUAUGCAGUCGGAGAGAUUGAGGUCUGCAGCGUAGAUCCUUCGGGGCUAAAUGCAUUUGUGCUAAGUUAUAGCAUUUUAUAGAUCAACUUGUUGACUAUGAUUUGUCUUGGUAGCUUACUCGCUUAUGUUAUUUUACCUACGCUUAGGAUGUUGAGCGCAUGUCUCUCUCU